Thamnophis elegans (Western terrestrial garter snake) is the source of this 1369-nucleotide long non-coding RNA. RefSeq lists it as uncharacterized. The transcript is spliced from 3 exons. The record is from RefSeq and is a predicted model, not a curated record. NCBI's taxonomy places the organism in Eukaryota, Metazoa, Chordata, Lepidosauria, Squamata, Natricidae.
AGUGCUUGAUGGAUUCAUUUUCACUCACACUGCAUUUAUGCCUUUCACAUGCAGUAAUGUAUUCAGUGAAACUAGCUUCUUUCACUCUACAGUACCUCCUUUUCUUGGAACAAGCAAAGGGAAGGGAUACUUCAACCAUUAAGAGAGUACUUAAGGUACUUUAGGGUACUUUGAUGAGAAGCGAAACGGCAUCAAAGAAAAACCAGAAAGUCCAGUUGCCUUCAGAAAAAGCACCUUUGGGACAACCAUGAUCUGGAUGACUGAGAAGAACUCUGAUUCAUACACAUGUGAUUCUGUUGCCAGUCUAUCAACAGCCUGGAGACACGUCUGUGCAUCAAUAGAACAACCAAUAAACAAUGAAGUAUUCCAGUGUCAAUGAACAAUGAAGUUGUCAUCAAUGUAGGAAAGAAAUUUCCUACCAUUUUCUUCUGUUUAUGUGCAAUAUAUUGCAAGUUAUAAGUAAAUUGAAUCAGAAUGCAGAGAGAAACAUUGGAAAAAGUCACAAAUCAUUAAACAUUAGGGUAACAAUAAGUGAGUUAUAAAUAAAUAAUGUUUAUUUUUGAGUUUUAUACCAAGGUCAAACAUUUUAGAAGUCCUCUGAUAUCUUAGUAUGCCAUCACUUGAAAAUAAACUUUCAAACAAACUGUCAUCCACUAAGCUUGCUUUCAAAAUUGAUUCCUGAUGUAUUGCAUGUACCUUGACCGGGCACAAUCUUUCUCAUGUACGUAUCUGUUGUCUGUCUGUCUGUCUGUCUGUCUGUCUGUCUGUCUGUCUGUCUGUCUUUCUUUCUUUCUUUCUUUCUUUCUUUCUUUCUUUCUUUCUUUCUUUCUUUCUUUCUUUCUUUCUUUCUUUCUACUGGCCGAUCUGCCUCUCUGUAUCUCCCACACAGAUUUGAAGUGCUACAUUAACAAAGUACCAUCUGUUCUAAGGGAAAAAAAUAGAAAAAAAUAAAACAAAACACAAUUUUAGUAAUCAUAUGGCAAAAUGGUAGUAGAAAGAAUGUUUUUAUACAACUUUUUCUUUGUUUGAUAGCUUCUAUUCUACUAUCAUAAUUCCUGAUCUGCAAAUUCCAUAUCCUGUUUUUUUUCUUCCUAUUUCUAUGGAUUUUUCUUUAAAAGAACCCUAAAACUCAUCCUAAUUGGCCAACUUAUUCAAUGUAUAUUUAAAUAAAGGAACGGAAUGUGGAACCAGGUGAUUCAUGUUCAAAUCACUCAGGUGCCACUUGGUGACAAUAAAUGACACAUUAUAUCUAAGAGUAGUUUACGCAGAAUAAUUGGAAGACAAAACAAUGGGCAGAAGACUACUAAAUAUGCCUUUUGAAAUGUUUGUUGAACAAUGGAAUGAAAAAUAAACUCAAAUUAAAAGAUGA